CAAUCUUUUUUUUUACUAGCUUUAUAUUUCCAAACCAAUUUCUAAAUAUGACAUGUAGCAUUUUAAGUAUUACAUAUUAUAUUUAGCAGAUUACAUUUAGCAUAAUAUUAAUUUUCAACAUUAUACCUCCCAACCCCCACCUUACCCCAGACAGGGGAGGAAGGAAGCACUCCCAUUGGGCUGCUGGGCUAUGGGGUGAGUGAUGUGAGGAAUGUCCUCAGGUGAAUGGAGAGGGGCAGGGGAGUCUGGCUUUCUAAUAAUGAACUCUAGGGGGUGACUGCAGGCAUGUUCACAGAGAGGGCCCUGCAUGCCAUUUUUGGCACAAGUGCCAUAGAUUUGCCAUCAUUGGCUUAGGGAGACCAGGGAAGAAGGAUUCCGAGUUGGACUACCCUUAGAGUCUUACCUACAAUGGGAGAAACUUCUAAGGCAAAAGGGAAACAGACAGAGCAUUUACUAAAUGCAUACUCUGUGCCAACCACUGUGUCGUGUGCUGAGAAUACAAAAAAAGAAAUAAAACAAGGCAGUCCAUACUUUCAAGAAUUUUACAUUCUAAUAGGGGAAGAGAAGACACAAAGGGAGGAAACUAAACAUCACCUAUUAUUAUCCCAAAUAGAAGAUGAAGAAACUGAGGUAAAGAGAGAUUAAAUGAAUUGCUUCAAGAAACUGGGCAAAUCAGAGGUUGUGCCCCAGCUCCUGCCUCCCAGGACUGGUCCUCUGGCCUUUGAGACCACACUGACCACAAGCAUUCAUUCCAGCCUCACCUUCGGAGCUGCCUCACCAUCAGUGAGAUAAGCAUCUGUCAUCCCAGAUGAUGCCUAGUCAUGCUUAAUGCAAAACCUCAAACUAAAGCCUUUUAUCAAUCUAUGUCAGUGUGUCUCUAACUGGGGAUCUUGGGCACGUUGCCAAAGGGUUGUACCGACCGAAUGCUUUUUUCCUGACCUCCCCAGAGUAGUAGGAAUAAUCAUGAUGGAUCAGGCUGGCUGGCUGCUUCACCAUGGGUCUCAUGGAGCUGCUGCAUCUUCCAGGGGGUCCCUGUGGCUCUGGGGUCUCGUCACCACCUUGAAGAGGACCAAUGACGUCACCGUGCUAAGAAUGGGGACAAAAAAAGACCAUGAAAAGGACAUCUGACAUCCCUUCUGACCCCAAAUCUGUGAUCCUAUAACUGUGUCACUUUUGUGUUUAUAUCCUCAGUGCCCAGUGUAAUGCCUGGCAUGGAAUGAAUGCAGAAUAAAUGCUUAUUGAUUGGUUAACUGUUUCCA
Molecule: long non-coding RNA, 1259 nt
Filed under: Monodelphis domestica (gray short-tailed opossum)
Lineage: Eukaryota; Metazoa; Chordata; Mammalia; Didelphimorphia; Didelphidae
Description: lncRNA (ENSMODG00000049345.1)
Source: RNAcentral